This 356-nucleotide ribosomal RNA is filed under the name Agrilus graminis. RNAcentral describes it as "partial 12S ribosomal RNA". Lineage: Eukaryota; Metazoa; Arthropoda; Insecta; Coleoptera; Buprestidae. The record is from RNAcentral.
UGCAUAUUUUAGAGCUAACUCAAGUAAAAAAAACAAUUUAAAAUUACUUUCAAAUCCACUUUAUAAAACAUUUUAAAAAUUCUAACCAUUUAAAUAAAUUUAUUGUAACCCACCUCUUCCUUACAAAUGCUGCAUCUUGAUUUGACUUCUUUCUUAGUAAAGAAUCUUGACCAUUUAAAUUUCUUAUAAAAAACUCAACCACAACGAUAUACAAACUAAUUGAAAGUAAAACUAAUCGUGGAUUAUCAAUUACAGGGCAGGUUCCUCUGAAAAGACUAAAAUACCGCCAAAUUCUCUUUGUUUUCAAGAAUAUAUCUAAUACUAACCAGGUAAUAAAAUAUACACUUAAAAUAAUA